CAUCAUCGUCCUCAACUGGUUCAACGUGCUCUCAAAAUUCACCACUUGUUGGCUCAACGUGUACCUGUCUUGCUGCAUUACACAACCAUAAGCUUAGGGACGAGAAGUGAGCACGACCAACAAAUAGGUACGAAUACUACAAUUAUCAUAUCUGCCGGAAGCUCCACUGGAGAAGUCCACACCGUACGGAUAGUAAUUGGCCCUUGCUCGGGAGUUGAGGAAGUUGGUAUUGCCG
Ipomoea nil (Japanese morning glory) is the source of this 235-nucleotide long non-coding RNA. RefSeq lists it as uncharacterized. The record is from RefSeq and is a predicted model, not a curated record. NCBI's taxonomy places the organism in Eukaryota, Viridiplantae, Streptophyta, Magnoliopsida, Solanales, Convolvulaceae. The transcript has 3 exons.